RNAcentral lists this long non-coding RNA (678 nucleotides) under Homo sapiens (human). RNAcentral's name for it is "HSALNT0100678". Lineage: Eukaryota; Metazoa; Chordata; Mammalia; Primates; Hominidae. The record is from RNAcentral.
GGCGGGGCUCCCAGCCGGUAAUGGGAGGCCUGGAGGGGGAUGGACUUUAAAAAGGAAGCAGAAAGGCCAGGAGGACGAGCUUCACUGGAGGUGGAGAGAAGGCUAAAAAGCACAGGCUCGAAGAGACUGCCAAGAUACAACGAUCCAACAAAGACACAUCGUAUCAACAGUAAUGAUUUCCUAAAUGUGAAGUAGUAGUUAUGUUUCAUGUUUCAAUAGUCAUCAAUCUGUUUUUAAUGUAUUCAUGGAAAAAUAUGUGGGCCAUCUUGCUAUUUAACUAUUUUUGAAAUCUCAUGGAAGCCUGCCAAUGUUUUUGCAAUUUAGCUAAGAAGCUGUCUUGCUUUUUGAGAGGGGAAGUUCCAAUAUUGUAAGCCUAGGUUUCUGAAUAUAUUUUUGUUUUUUAAUAAAUGUAGAAAGAAUGUUUUUUGUUAAUCCUGGCAUUUGUCUAGAGCAAAAGCAAAAUAAAUGAAAAGUGAGGAAAAUUAAAAGGCUCACGUUAUAACAUGUGCUGUCUAGAGAAUAAAAACUCAUUUGUGCAAAGUUGGUAUGGCUUUUAUGAAAAUAUUUCAGUCCGAGCACCUUGCCUGUUUGCUGCAGUGCUGACUGACUCAUGAUUAGGGAUCUGUGUUGCCUUUAUUGCUCUCGGUUUGCCCUAUGGCUUGAUUUAUUAAUAUAUUU